Transfer RNA from Ipomoea nil (Japanese morning glory), 71 nucleotides. It matches the Rfam family "tRNA". Rfam says of the family: Transfer RNA (tRNA) molecules are approximately 80 nucleotides in length. Their secondary structure includes four short double-helical elements and three loops (D, anti-codon, and T loops). The record is from Rfam. NCBI's taxonomy places the organism in Eukaryota, Viridiplantae, Streptophyta, Magnoliopsida, Solanales, Convolvulaceae.
GGAUCCGUGGCGCAAUGGUAGUGCGACUGACUCCAGAUCAGAAUGUUGCGUGUUCGAUCACGUCGGGUUCA